Non-coding RNA from Ceratotherium simum simum (southern white rhinoceros), 376 nucleotides. Lineage: Eukaryota; Metazoa; Chordata; Mammalia; Perissodactyla; Rhinocerotidae. The record is from RefSeq and is a predicted model, not a curated record.
AGCCACAGUGAAUAUGUUUGUAUGAAGGCCCGCUGAUCUUAACAAUGUGCCCGCCUGGGAACGUGGGGUGGCUGUGCUCGGGCGGCAGGCGGCCCUAGAAUGGAGUGUUCCUUGCUGGGAUGGGGACGCAGGUGGGAAACCCGGUUUAACAAAUUAUUCGCUUGAUUCCGGGGAGCAUUCUCCUCGGGCCAAGUCUUGGCAGGCGGCGUCCGAAACUCGCAGAUCCCGUUCCGGGCCGCGUCCCCAGUCCCUUGCCGGGGAGAGCCCUCUGCAGUGGCGGUCGGCGCAGGUGACGGACGUCCGGGAGGCUCCGCUCCCCCUCCUAGAGCCUAGAAGCCGUCACUGCGCCCCGUCUGCUCGGGCUCCGCAGUUGGCG